Molecule: ribosomal RNA, 400 nt
Filed under: uncultured bacterium
Lineage: Bacteria
Description: bacterial SSU rRNA
Rfam family: Bacterial small subunit ribosomal RNA
Source: RNAcentral
UAGGGAAUAUUGGUCAAUGGGCGCAAGCCUGAACCAGCCAUGCCGCGUGCAGGAUGAAGGCCCUAUGGGUCGUAAACUGCUUUUGUACGGGAAGAAAUCUCAUUACGUGUAAUGAGUUGACGGUACCGUGAGAAUAAGGAUCGGCUAACUUCGUGCCAGCAGCCGCGGUAAUACGAAGGAUCCAAGCGUUGUCCGGAUUUACUGGGUUUAAAGGGUGCGUAGGCGGAUGAUUAAGUCAGUGGUGAAAGCCUGCAGCUUAACUGUAGAAUUGCCAUUGAAACUGAUCAUCUCGAAUGUGGUUGAGGUAACUGGAAUGUUGCAUGUAGCGGUGAAAUGCUUAGAUAUGCAACAGAACACCAAUUGCGAAGGCAGGUUACUAAGCCAUUAUUGACGCUGAGGC